Molecule: ribosomal RNA, 830 nt
Filed under: uncultured Actinomycetes bacterium
Lineage: Bacteria; Bacillati; Actinomycetota; Actinomycetes
Description: bacterial SSU rRNA
Rfam family: Bacterial small subunit ribosomal RNA
Source: RNAcentral
CCUGACCUGCAUUCGAUACGGUCUAGCUAGAGUGUGGUAGGGGAGACUGGAAUUCCUGGUGUAGCGGUGGAAUGCGCAGAUAUCAGGAGGAACACCGAUGGCGAAGGCAGGUCUCUGGGCCAUUACUGACACUGAGGAGCGAAAGCGUGGGGAGCGAACAGGAUUAGAUACCCUGGUAGUCCACGCCGUAAACGGUGGGCGCUAGUUGUGCGAACCUUCCACGGUUUGUGCGACGCAGCUAACGCAUUAAGCGCCCCGCCUGGGGAGUACGAUCGCAAGAUUAAAACUCAAAGGAAUUGACGGGGCCCCGCACAAGCAGCGGAGCAUGCGGCUUAAUUCGACGCAACGCGAAGAACCUUACCAAGGCUUGACAUAUACAGGAAUACGGCAGAGAUGUCGUAGCCGCAAGGUCUGUAUACAGGUGGUGCAUGGUUGUCGUCAGCUCGUGUCGUGAGAUGUUGGGUUAAGUCCCGCAACGAGCGCAACCCUCGUUCUGUGUUGCCAGCAUUUAGUUGGGGACUCACAGGAGACUGCCGGGGUUAACUCGGAGGAAGGUGGGGAUGACGUCAAAUCAUCAUGCCCCUUAUGUCUUGGGCUGCACGCAUGCUACAAUGGCUGGUACAAACGGCUGCAAUACCGCAAGGUGGAGCGAAUCCGAGAAAGCCAGUCUCAGUUCGGAUUGGGGUCUGCAACUCGACCCCAUGAAGUCGGAGUUGCUAGUAAUCGUAGAUCAGCAACGCUACGGUGAAUACGUUCCCGGGGCUUGUACACACCGCCCGUCACGUCACGAAAGUCGGUAACACCCAAAGUCAGUGGCCCAACCGUAAGGA